UGCAGGCUGNAACCCGCCUGCAUGAAGCCGGAAUCGCUAGUAAUCGCGCAUCAGCCAUGGCGCGGUGAAUACGUUCCCGGGCCUUGUACACACCGCCCGUCAAGCCAUGGGAGCCGGGGGUGCCUGAAGUUCGUUACCGCAAGGAUCGACCUAGGGCAAAACUGGUGACUGGGGCUAAGUCGUAACAAGGUAUC
Molecule: ribosomal RNA, 194 nt
Filed under: uncultured bacterium
Lineage: Bacteria
Description: partial 16S ribosomal RNA
Rfam family: Bacterial small subunit ribosomal RNA
Source: RNAcentral